RNAcentral lists this long non-coding RNA (356 nucleotides) under Phasianus colchicus (ring-necked pheasant). RNAcentral's name for it is "lncRNA (ENSPCLG00000001544.1)". The record is from RNAcentral. Lineage: Eukaryota; Metazoa; Chordata; Aves; Galliformes; Phasianidae.
ACAUUUUGUGAGACAGCAUGGGAAACUACAAGGUGCUCUGUAAAACCUCUUUGAGAACUGAAGGAUGGAGAAAUGAGGUGAAGAGACUAAGUACACCCAGGAAAGCUGAAGCCGGGCUGGGCCAGACCCCAGAACUGCUGCUUCAUGCCAUGAAUGAACUACAAUCAAAUAAAAAUAUUCGCCACAACAGCUUGUCAGCAGCACAACUUGCAGUAUUGCUUCUUUUGCUGCAGGGUUUGGGAUUUCACGGUGCUACAUUCUGCCUAUGAAUGCCUGAAAGACUCCUAUCUGGGUUAUAAAAGGACAUUUAUUCAAUGAGGAGGAAAAAAAAUAAAAGGAAAUCGUUCAAUCUUUCA